Molecule: ribosomal RNA, 484 nt
Filed under: uncultured bacterium
Lineage: Bacteria
Description: partial 16S ribosomal RNA
Rfam family: Bacterial small subunit ribosomal RNA
Source: RNAcentral
AUUGAACGCUGGCGGCAGGCCUAACACAUGCAAGUCGAGCGGAUGAAGGGAGCUUGCUCCUGGAUUCAGCGGCGGACGGGUGAGUAAUGCCUAGGAAUCUGCCUGGUAGUGGGGGAUAACGUCCGGAAACGGGCGCUAAUACUGCAUACGUCCUGAGGGAGAAAGUGGGGGAUCUUCGGACCUCACGCUAUCAGAUGAGCCUAGGUCGGAUUAGCUAGUUGGUGGGGUAAAGGCCUACCAAGGCGACGAUCCGUAACUGGUCUGAGAGGAUGAGCAGUCACACUGGAACUGAGACACGGUCCAGAGUCCUACGGGAGGCAGCAGUGGGGAAUAUUGGACAAUGGGCGAAAGCCUGAUCCAGCCAGGCCGCGUGUGUGAGGAAGGUCUUCGGAUGGUAGAGCACUGUAAGUUGGGAGGAAGGGCAGUAAGUUAAUACCUUGCUGUGUUGACGUUACCAACAGAAUAAGCACCGGCUAACUUCGUG